GUAACGAGCGCAACCCUUGUCCUUAGUUACCAGCACGUUAUGGUGGGCACUCUAAGGAGACUGCCGGUGGACAAACCGGAGGAAGGUGGGGAUGACGUCAAGUCAUCAUGGCCCUUACGGCCUGGGCUACACACGUGCUACAAUGGUCGGUACAAAGGGUUGCCAAGCCGCGAGGUGGAGCUAAUCCCAUAAAACCGAUCGUAGUCCGGAUCGCAGUCUGCAACUCGACUGCGUGAAGUCGGAAUCGCUAGUAAUCGUGAAUCAGAAUGUCACGGUGAAUACGUUCCCGGGCCUU
RNAcentral lists this ribosomal RNA (295 nucleotides) under uncultured Pseudomonas sp. Its description in RNAcentral is "partial 16S ribosomal RNA". It matches the Rfam family "Bacterial small subunit ribosomal RNA", at positions 1089 to 1382 of the family's 1533-position model. Lineage: Bacteria; Pseudomonadati; Pseudomonadota; Gammaproteobacteria; Pseudomonadales; Pseudomonadaceae. The record is from RNAcentral.